AGCCUAAUGAUUAAUUUUAUAUUAGGUGAAGUCUGCCCGGUGAUAAAUUUUAACGGCCGCAGUACCUUGACUGUGCUAAGGUAGCAAAAUAAAUAGGCUUUUAAUUGGGGUCGAGUAUGAAUGACCUAAUGGGUAAAAACUGUCUUGUAUAUACAUUUAUUAAUUUCCUUAAUAGGUGAAAAUUCCUAUACUUUAAUUAUUAGACGAGAAGACCCUUAGAGUUUUAAGAAAUUCAAUCUUUUAUGAUUUAAUCUUUUUGUUGGGGCGACAGAUUAUCAAAUUUAACAUAAAAAUCAAUUUCUAUUACAAAACUUCUAUUAUAAAUGAAUAUAACUACCUAAGGGAUAACAGCAUAAUUUUAUAAAAGAUUGUGACCUCGAUGUUGGACUAGGGACUAAUUAUAUAAGUCAUAUAAUUAGAAUAUUCUGUUCGAAUAAUUUUUACC
This 445-nucleotide ribosomal RNA is filed under the name Arion sp. SMNG p18537. RNAcentral describes it as "partial 16S ribosomal RNA". The stretch from base 1 to 189 matches the Rfam family "Archaeal large subunit ribosomal RNA", at positions 1908 to 2143 of the family's 2987-position model. Lineage: Eukaryota; Metazoa; Mollusca; Gastropoda; Stylommatophora; Arionidae. The record is from RNAcentral.